This is a long non-coding RNA of Parasteatoda tepidariorum (common house spider), 490 nucleotides long. NCBI's taxonomy places the organism in Eukaryota, Metazoa, Arthropoda, Arachnida, Araneae, Theridiidae. The record is from RefSeq and is a predicted model, not a curated record.
UUCAUGUAUAACAUCAGCAUAUUUUUGUCGCUUAUUUUGAUCUUGUUAGCAAGAUAAUCAAAUGCUUUCUAAAUUUUAUAUAAGCAAAAAGCACUUUUCUUCAUAUUUAAAUUACUGUAUAGCGAUCAAAUAAGUGUUUAAAGGAUGGUCUUGAUUGCAAAGACGCAGUUUCCAGUAGGGCACAAAAGUCAAGUAUCACUGACUGCGGUCAGCAAGCUGGUGGGUGACAAGUUUGAUCAGUCUGCGUAGGGACCGAAAGUGCGCGGUAUCGGUCCUCGUUAAACUGCUCUAUCGUAAAGUGUUCGACUUCACGCGCAGGCCGCCGUGAUAUCCAAGAAGGGGAGUUAUCCCCUCUACAGAGGAUAAAAAUUGCGAUGGCACGUCUUCGCAUUAUCCUCCAGGAUGUUUCCCAGACUGUCGACAAUUGCCAUUAUGCAGCUCAUAUUAUAAUUAAAUUCCAUUAUGCGUAAAUAAAGUACCUACCUACCUA